AAGUCGUAACAAGGUCUCCGUAGGUGAACCUGCGGAGGGAUCAUCAAAGGAAAACUUUUAUGAAAAAGUGGUGGGGGGAGAGAGAGGGGGGAGAGAGAAAUCUCUUCCCCCCCCUCUCUCUUUCCUCUUUUUCUCAAACAAAUGAUCACAACUAUGUAAUAAGAGACAUUUGGAUUUGGGGGUUGGUGUGGGAUAAUCAAUCAAUCUCUCAAGAAGAGAGAGAGAAAAGACUUCUUGUGGCUUUUCUCCCCUCUCUCUUGGACAAAAAAAGUGCUUGCCUGAUAAUUGAUGGUUGGAAAAUUAAAAGAAAUACAACUUUCAACAACGGAUCUCUUGGCUCUCA
This 343-nucleotide unclassified non-coding RNA is filed under the name fungal sp. Its description in RNAcentral is "partial internal transcribed spacer region". The stretch from base 1 to 46 matches the Rfam family "Eukaryotic small subunit ribosomal RNA", at positions 1786 to 1831 of the family's 1831-position model. Lineage: Eukaryota; Fungi. The record is from RNAcentral.